Molecule: ribosomal RNA, 466 nt
Filed under: Schaalia turicensis
Lineage: Bacteria; Bacillati; Actinomycetota; Actinomycetes; Actinomycetales; Actinomycetaceae
Description: bacterial SSU rRNA
Rfam family: Bacterial small subunit ribosomal RNA
Source: RNAcentral
GCUGGCGGCGUGCUUAACACAUGCAAGUCGAACGAUGAUGCUCCAGCUUUGUUGGGGUGGAUUAGUGGCGAACGGGUGAGUAACACGUGAGUAACCUGCCCUCUUCUUUGGGAUAACGGUCGGAAACGGCUGCUAAUACUGGAUAUUCACUCAUUGGCGCAUGUUGGUGGGUGGAAAGGUUUUUUCUGGUGGGGGAUGGGCUCGCGGCCUAUCAGCUUGUUGGUGGGGUGAUGGCCUACCAAGGCUUUGACGGGUAACCGGCCUGAGAGGGUGACCGGUCACAUUGGGACUGAGAUACGGCCCAGACUCCUACGGGAGGCAGCAGUGGGGAAUUUUGCACAAUGGGCGCAAGCCUGAUGCAGCGACGCCGCGUGAGGGAUGAAGGCCUUCGGGUUGUAAACCUUUUUCGCUCAUGGUCAAGCCGCAGCUUUGGGUUGUGGUGAGGGUAGUGGGUAAAGAAGCGCCG